RNAcentral lists this ribosomal RNA (500 nucleotides) under uncultured bacterium. RNAcentral's name for it is "partial 16S ribosomal RNA". It matches the Rfam family "Bacterial small subunit ribosomal RNA", at positions 30 to 523 of the family's 1533-position model. The record is from RNAcentral.
AUUGAACGCUGGCGGAAUGCUUUACACAUGCAAGUCGAACGGCAGCACGGACUUCGGUCUGGUGGCGAGUGGCGAACGGGUGAGUAACAUAUCGGAACGUAUCCAAUAAUGGGGGAUAACGAGUCGAAAGAUUCGCUAAUACCGCAUACGCCCUACGGGGGACAGCUGGGGACCUUUGGGCCUGGCGUUAAUGGAGCGGCCGAUAUCUGAUUAGCUAGUUGUUGAGGUAAAGGCGCACCAAGGCGACGAUCAGUAGCUGGUCUGAGAGGACGACCAGCCACACUGGAACUGAGACACGGUCCAGACUCCUACGGGAGGCAGCAGUGGGGAAUUUUGGACAAUGGGCGCAAGCCUGAUCCAGCCAUUCCGCGUGAGUGAAGAAGGCCUUCGGGUUGUAAAGCUCUUUCGCAAGGGAAGAAAACUUAGCCACUAACAUUGGUUGAGGUUGACGGUACCUUGAUAAGAAGCACCGGCUAACUACGUGCCAGCCGCCGCAGUAA